UGGGGAAUCUUGGACAAUGGGCGCAAGCCUGAUCCAGCCAUGCCGCGUGAGUGAAGAAGGCCUUAGGGUUGUAAAGCUCUUUUGCCAGGGACGAUAAUGACGGUACCUGGAGAAUAAGCCCCGGCAAACUUCGUGCCAGCAGCCGCGGUAAUACGAAGGGGGCUAGCGUUGUUCGGAUUUACUGGGCGUAAAGCGCACGUAGGCGGAUCGUUAAGUCAGGGGUGAAAUCCCGGAGCUCAACUCCGGAACUGCCUUUGAUACUGGCGAUCUUGAGGCUGGAAGAGGUUAGUGGAAUUCCCUGUGUAGAGGUGAAAUUCGUAGAUAUUGGGAAGAACACCAGUGGAGAGGGCGGCUAACUGGUACAGAUCUGACGCUGAGGUGCGAACGGGUGGGGAGCAAACAGG
This 404-nucleotide ribosomal RNA is filed under the name Bacillota bacterium. Its description in RNAcentral is "Firmicutes bacterium partial 16S ribosomal RNA". It matches the Rfam family "Bacterial small subunit ribosomal RNA", at positions 355 to 776 of the family's 1533-position model. Lineage: Bacteria; Bacillati; Bacillota. The record is from RNAcentral.